This 268-nucleotide small RNA is filed under the name Otolemur garnettii (small-eared galago). RNAcentral describes it as "Metazoan signal recognition particle RNA (ENSOGAG00000028539.1)". Lineage: Eukaryota; Metazoa; Chordata; Mammalia; Primates; Galagidae. The record is from RNAcentral.
GCCGGGCAUUGUGGCGGGCACCUGUAGUCCCAGCUGCUUGGGAGGCUGAGGCAAGAGAAUCGCCUAAGCCCAGGAGUUGGAGGUUGCUGUGAGCUGUGAUGCCAUGGCACUCUACCAAGGGUGACAAAGUGAGACUCUGUCUCUAAAAAUAAUAAUAAUGAUUAUUUUUUUAUUUAUGUGAGACAGUGUCUCUGUCAUCCUUGGUAGAGUGCUAUAGCAUCACAGCUCACAAUAACUUCAAACUCUUGGACUUAUGGGAUUCUCUUGC